Molecule: long non-coding RNA, 1080 nt
Organism: Salvia splendens (bonfire salvia)
Lineage: Eukaryota; Viridiplantae; Streptophyta; Magnoliopsida; Lamiales; Lamiaceae
Exons: 2
Source: RefSeq, a predicted model, not a curated record
CUUCCACUUCCCCAAUCUCUCUCGGUUUACUCCCUCUCCCUCUAUGAUGUUACUUCAUCCCAAAAUUAGGGAAUUUCCCAAAUCAAGAUCCCCAAAUUGCAGAAGCUCCAAAGUUCGUCGCCUUCAAUUCACUUCCCGUCGCCGUCUGCUGCGUAUUCCACCCAGGAGCGCCACUGCAGCGAGAGGGGAGGACGGUCGCCGCUGCUCGCUGCCCGCGGCUCACUGCUCACUGCCCGCGGCUCAAACACGCACCGUCGGGAAGUGCUGUUGCUGUCAGACGGAACUGCUGUCUCGGGUCAGCCUUCGCCAGGCUCCGUUGUGCGCUGUUGUACCGUCGCGGUCCAGAUCCUUCACCAUCGCGGUAGACGACCAUCAUCAGCAGUCAUCGUUGAACCGCUGCCUUCCGGCAUUCCCAGCUGUCGGGCAGUCCGAAAACAGCCCCGAAUCGCCACCGGUAGUCCCGACCGAGCGCGAAAACUACCCCAUAAGCAUCCGGCAGCCCCAUUAACUAUUCUCAACAACCCCGAACAGCCCCGAAACCAACCCCAAAGCAGCCCCGCCAGACAAGUUCUCAUUCCAAGAAAGGGAUUAUACCUCAAGAAUUUGAACUUGGUUGUGGUUGAAACAAAAUGGAAGCAACAAUUCCUUCUACUUCUUCUCCUCUCGGCUCCCUCCCUCUCUCUCAAUUUGCUCAUUGUAAAGUGUGUAUUGUGAGGAGUUAGGGAAGAGGUUACAUGAAGAAGUAAUGGGUGACCUUUGGUUUGUAGGAUUAAUGGUGGAAGAUGGAGAGUGGAGAAGUUGAAGAUGGGGAGUCUCCACUUGAAGAAACCGUUGAUCAUGAAGAGGAGAAGAAGAAAAAGAAGAUCUUUGGGCUUACUCCCAUAUUUUGGAAAAUGUAUUGGGCUCAACAUAAUUUAUUUAAAUUAGUUUGGGCUCAUUUAGUUGCAAAGCCCCAAAUUUGUAUAAUUAUCUAUUUGUUGGACCUUCUGAUUGUCAUGGCCCAAAGCCAUUUUUAAUAAAAACAUUUCGACUCAAAUUUUUAUUUGAGAAACCCAAGAGUAUAUAUUUUGCAUUCUCUCA